CCUACGGUGUGCUGCAGUGGGGAAUAUUGGACAAUGGGCGAAAGCCUGAUCCAGCCAUGCCGCGUGUGUGAAGAAGGCCUUCGGGUUGUAAAGCACUUUCAGUGGGGAAGAAAGCCUUGGGGCUAAUACCCUCGAGGAAGGACAUCACCCACAGAAGAAGCACCGGCUAACUCCGUGCCAGCAGCCGCGGUAAUACGGAGGGUGCGAGCGUUAAUCGGAAUUACUGGGCGUAAAGCGCGCGUAGGCGGUCUGAUAAGCCGGUUGUGAAAGCCCCGGGCUCAACCUGGGAACGGCAUCCGGAACUGUCAGGCUAGAGUGCAGGAGAGGAAGGUAGAAUUCCCGGUGUAGCGGUGAAAUGCGUAGAGAUCGGGAGGAAUACCAGUGGCGAAGGCGGCCUUCUGGACUGACACUGACGCUGAGGUGCGAAAGCGUGGGUAGCAAACAGGAUUAGAUACCCGUGUAGUC
This 465-nucleotide ribosomal RNA is filed under the name Vreelandella stevensii. RNAcentral's name for it is "partial 16S ribosomal RNA". It matches the Rfam family "Bacterial small subunit ribosomal RNA", at positions 338 to 795 of the family's 1533-position model. Lineage: Bacteria; Pseudomonadati; Pseudomonadota; Gammaproteobacteria; Oceanospirillales; Halomonadaceae. The record is from RNAcentral.